Molecule: transfer RNA, 41 nt
Filed under: Carabus olympiae
Lineage: Eukaryota; Metazoa; Arthropoda; Insecta; Coleoptera; Carabidae
Description: partial tRNA-Leu
Source: RNAcentral
AUUUAAGCUUCAUAUAUAAAGUAUUUCUCCUUUUUUUAGAA